This 250-nucleotide ribosomal RNA is filed under the name uncultured bacterium. RNAcentral describes it as "partial 16S ribosomal RNA". It matches the Rfam family "Bacterial small subunit ribosomal RNA", at positions 28 to 261 of the family's 1533-position model. The record is from RNAcentral.
GACGAACGCUGGCGGCGUGCUUAACACAUGCAAGUCGAACGGAGAAUUUUGCUUCGGUAGAAUUCUUAGUGGCGAACGGGUGAGUAACGCGUAGACAACCUACCUCUCAGAUGGGGACAACAUCGCGAAAGCGGUGCUAAUACCGAAUGAUGUAACUUUUCUGCAUGGAAGAGUUACCAAAGGCGGCCUCUAUUUAUAAGCUGUCACUGAGAGAUGGGUCUGCGUCUGAUUAGCUAGUUGGCGGGGUAAU